GGGAUAAUGUCUAUACUGGGUCCGUUUUUCCAGGGGGGAAAGUCUAUGCAGGGGGAAAUUCUAUAACACCGGUAUCGGUGGGACAAACAUUAUUAUAAUCACGGCUGUGUUUACAAACGUCAUAUACAGUUUAUAUUUCCACGUAGUUAACAGUUUCGGGACAUUGUUUCCCAUCCGUAUAUACUAUUUCCUUACAGAACAUGUAUCAAUUAGUUGUGUAAAAGUAAAGAAUAAUGCACGAACGUCCUCUCCUGUUGUUUCUCUAGACGUUUGACGUGCUGAGGAGUGCACCUAACAAAACAAGCGGCAUCCACUAUGAGAGAAGGAACUAAGGGAACUUUGGGGAUGGAGAAUUAGAAGAUUACUAGUGUUUUUCCGGGGGACGAGGAUUACUCUGCAGUCAUCUGACUAAACCAUUUCUCAAAACAUUCUCCGAAACAACUUAAUAAACUUAAAAGCACACAUACAAGAAAGAUUUACACCUGGACCUGGUCUGAUAAAAAAGAAACUUACAUAUAGGCCUAACACGUGAAGUACGGAUAACCCCUAGAAGCAACAGGAAGUACGGAUAACCCCUAGAAGCAACAGGAAGUACGGAUAACCCCUAGAAGCAACAGGAAGUACGGAUAAUCCCUAGAAGCAACAAGAUGGGGGAAUCAGAUAUAAGUGGAGGUGCAAUGGGGAGGUAUUUUGGAAAAGGGAAAGUAUACAUCAUGAGAAACGGCCAGUCAAAAUAUAAAAUAGGAUGUUCUGGAGAUCCGGCGAGAAGACUGAAAGAAAUCCAAAGAGAAAGACCAAAUGUCAAACUGUUAUCUACAACAAAGGCCACUGAAAUGAACGGGGCAGAAACAGCUGCCCAAAAAGCCAACAUUAAGAAUGGAAGCAAAAGAGCAACGAAGGUUGCAUCAGACUGGUUUAUAAAACCCAAGAGAAAAUCUUGGGAUCAGAUAAUUAAUACUACAAGGAAUGCAGUAUAUCGACAUAACCGUCAAUGAAAACUCAAGAGGAAAAGUGAAAUCAAAGAAAAGAUAAACCCGACUCUUACCAACACAUAGGGGAAUACCGUGGAAUCAUUUUAAUUCGUGGGGGCCAAUGUAUAGAUAUCUAUAUGUUUAUUUUUCCGCAGUGAUAUCGUGUAUAUAUUUUAUGUCUAUAUUUUAUGUUAUCUUAUCUAUUUUUAUAUUCUCUCAUUUAUCUGUCUGUGAAUAUGUUUUAUACAGGACCACAAUGUAAACUAAUCAUUUGUACUAAUUGUGUUAUCCUGUCUAAAUAAACAAUAUAUUUAUUAUCAUUAUUAUGUUCGUGGGUAAGCAAACUUUUGCUGAUUUGUGGGGAAGUAAUUUCGUGGGUAAGCGAUACGAUGUCACUAGGAGAGAUAACUCCACUUGGUUUACAAAAAUGUUCGAGGACUAGUGAAUUCGUGCGUAAGAGUGACCCACGAAAUCUACGUUCAUCAAUCCCGCAGGAACUCAAAACAAGCCAGUGUUACACAAUUUUUACAAUUUCUCAAAUGGACUUUUUUGUAAUCCAAAUACAAAACCAAUAUCCAUUGUUAGGAAAAAGUUGAAUGAUGUACAUUUAAUCUUCCUCAAUAAAUGUUUCAACAUGA
Molecule: long non-coding RNA, 1609 nt
Organism: Ostrea edulis (European flat oyster)
Lineage: Eukaryota; Metazoa; Mollusca; Bivalvia; Ostreida; Ostreidae
Exons: 6
Source: RefSeq, a predicted model, not a curated record